GAGCAGUAAACAGCUUAGAAAAUGGCUAGUGGAUUGAAUCAGCUGACUGGAUCUUUUAGAGCAGACCUGUUGAGAGUGAUGAUCAGCAGCAUGAGAGGCUGUUGCAGUACUCUUACUCUAAAGAUUCAAACCACUAAUAUGAGCAAUCAAUUUUCAUUCAUCACCCCAUGUUUUGUGCAAGGCCUAUAUUAUGCAACUUGGAUACUUGAUGUAUGUGUUGGAUAUAAAUAUAUUUAAUAUGGGUAUACUUAAUUAUUUCGGAUCAUGUUUUCAGUGAUAUCCGAAUAUACAUUUUACACAAAUAUUUAAAGGAAAUGAAAAAUUGUAUGGUUGAGAAUUAUCCAACUAAA
Molecule: long non-coding RNA, 350 nt
Organism: Gossypium arboreum
Lineage: Eukaryota; Viridiplantae; Streptophyta; Magnoliopsida; Malvales; Malvaceae
Exons: 2
Source: RefSeq, a predicted model, not a curated record